UUAUGGCUCAGGAUGAACGCUAGCUACAGGCUUAACACAUGCAAGUCGAGGGGCAUCAUGACGAUAGCUUGCUAUGUUGAUGGCGACCGGCGCACGGGUGAGUAACGCGUAUCCAACCUUCCCCUUAGUAGGGCAUAGCCCGGCGAAAGUCGGAUUAAUACCCUAUGUUAUUCGUAGAGGACAUCUGAAAUGAAUCAAAGAUUUAUCGCUAAGGGAUGGGGAUGCGUCCGAUUAGGUAGUCGGCGGGGUAACGGCCCACCGAGCCUUCGAUCGGUAGGGGUUCUGAGAGGAAGGUCCCCCACACUGGUACUGAGACACGGACCAGACUCCUACGGGAGGCAGCAGUGAGGAAUACUGGUCAAUGGGCGUAAGCCUGAACCAGCCAAGUAGCGUGCAGGAUGACGGCCCUAUGGGUUGUAAACUGCUUUUAUACGGGGAUAAAGUGAGGGACGUGUCCCUUAUUGUAGGUACCGUAUGAAUAAGGACCGGCUAAUUCCGUGCCAGCCGCAGC
RNAcentral lists this ribosomal RNA (511 nucleotides) under uncultured bacterium. Its description in RNAcentral is "bacterial SSU rRNA". It matches the Rfam family "Bacterial small subunit ribosomal RNA", at positions 17 to 518 of the family's 1533-position model. The record is from RNAcentral.